GGAACCCGGUGCAAAUCCGGGGCGGUCCCGCCGCUGUAAUCGGGGACGGGGGGAGCAGGUAAGCCAGGCCACUGCCGGGGUUCACCCCGGUGGGAAGGCCGCCUCCCUCCGGCUGAGCCGAGAGCCAGAAGAC
Molecule: non-coding RNA, 133 nt
Filed under: Deltaproteobacteria bacterium
Lineage: Bacteria; Pseudomonadati; Myxococcota; Myxococcia
Source: RNAcentral